AGUGGGGAAUUUUGGACAAUGGGCGCAAGCCUGAUCCAGCAAUGCCGCGUGCAGGAAGAAGGCCUUCGGGUUGUAAACUGCUUUUGUACGGAACGAAACGGUCUGGGUUAAUACCCUGGGCUAAUGACGGUACCGUAAGAAUAAGCACCGGCUAACUACGUGCCAGCAGCCGCGGUAAUACGUAGGGUGCAAGCGUUAAUCGGAAUUACUGGGCGUAAAGCGUGCGCAGGCGGUUUUGUAAGACAGACGUGAAAUCCCCGGGCUCAACCUGGGAAUGGCGUUUGUGACUGCAAAGCUGGAGUGCGGCAGAGGGGGAUGGAAUUCCGCGUGUAGCAGUGAAAUGCGUAGAUAUGCGGAGGAACACCGAUGGCGAAGGCAAUCCCCUGGGCCUGCACUGACGCUCAUGCACGAAAGCGUGGGGAGCAAACAGGAUUAGAUACCCUGGUAGUCCACGCCCUAAACGAUGUCAACUGGUUGUUGGGUCUCUUCUGACUCAGUAACGAAGCUAACGCGUGAAGUUGACCGCCUGGGGAGUACGGCCGCAAGGUUG
RNAcentral lists this ribosomal RNA (550 nucleotides) under uncultured bacterium. RNAcentral describes it as "bacterial SSU rRNA". It matches the Rfam family "Bacterial small subunit ribosomal RNA", at positions 353 to 896 of the family's 1533-position model. The record is from RNAcentral.